UACGAAGGGUGCAAGCGUUACUCGGAAUUACUGGGCGUAAAGCGUGCGUAGGCGGUUUGUUAAGUCUGAUGUGAAAGUCCUGGGCUCAACCUGGGAAUUGCAUUGGAUACUGGCAGGCUAGAGUGCGGUAGAGGAUGGCGGAAUUCCCGGUGUAGCAGUGAAAUGCGUAGAGAUCGGGAGGAACAUCUGUGGCGAAGGCGGCCAUCUGGACCAGCACUGACACUGAGGCACGAAAGCGUGGGGAGCAAACAGG
This 253-nucleotide ribosomal RNA is filed under the name uncultured bacterium. RNAcentral's name for it is "partial 16S ribosomal RNA". It matches the Rfam family "Bacterial small subunit ribosomal RNA", at positions 524 to 776 of the family's 1533-position model. The record is from RNAcentral.